This is a long non-coding RNA of Xyrauchen texanus (razorback sucker), 464 nucleotides long. RefSeq lists it as uncharacterized. Lineage: Eukaryota; Metazoa; Chordata; Actinopteri; Cypriniformes; Catostomidae. The transcript has 3 exons. The record is from RefSeq and is a predicted model, not a curated record.
AUCUGCACAUCUAGUGGAUAGUGACCUGUUUCUGAUGGCUGGUAGAAUGAUCGGUCACUGCUUUCUUCAUGGAGGGCCACCCUUGUCAGGACUUAGCCCUGCUGUUGUCCAUGUCAUUUCUGGUGGCAGUGCUGAAACAGCUGUUGUACAGAUUUCAGACUGUCCAGAUUUUGAUUUGCGUCAGAAUAUUAUGCUGCUUGAAGGACAAUCUGAACUAACACCUGACGAGAAGGAGAGCAUUAAUGAUUUGUGCUUUUCGUGGGACCUUCCUCCAGUGAACAAUGCUAAUCGACGAUGGCUUUAUGAGAGGCUUCUACAUCAUGCGGUUAUCGGACGAACUAUGAGGCAAAUCAAGCAACUUCGAAAAGGACUUAAGGAGACCAUGCUGUGGCCACUACUUUGUCAGCGUCCGGAUGUGCUUUCAGUCAUUUUCCCAUGAGAGAAAAAUGAUGUGUUGACCCCAG